This 520-nucleotide long non-coding RNA is filed under the name Homo sapiens (human). Its description in RNAcentral is "HSALNT0287355". The record is from RNAcentral. Lineage: Eukaryota; Metazoa; Chordata; Mammalia; Primates; Hominidae.
AUUGUAAUAUUCAAGCUGAUUCUACACUAAUGAAAGCAGCAAUCGCAGUAGAAAUGUGGGCACGGUUCCAUGUCUGCUGCAUUUGUACCUGGCUUUAGCUGAUUCACGCCUUGGCUGCCUGUAGUGGGUAGAAUGGUGUGUCCCCCAAAGGACAGCGACCCACAGCCUGUGAAUGUGACCAUAUUUGGGAAAAGGGGGGCAAACCCAGCAUUCAUACCCAAGGCGGAGCAUUGCAGAGCCGCUAUGGCUGUCAGCCAUGUAUUCAGAUGGGCAAUAAGCACAUGAAAAGAUGUUCUAGCAGAGCAAUACAAACGAAAACUACCGUGACAUACCAUGUCACAGCCCUCAAAUUGGAAAAAAGAAUAAUAGCAGCGUUACAUGGAGCUCUUAGCCUUACGCGACGAAUACAUAAAGCGGCUUGAGGAACUGCAGCUCGCCAACUCUGCCAAGCUUUCUGAUCCCCCAACUUCACCUUCCAGUCCUUCGCAAAUGAUGCCCCAUGUGCAAACUCACUUCUGAG